Manihot esculenta (cassava) is the source of this 1764-nucleotide RNA transcript. It is a transcript of the gene named U11/U12 small nuclear ribonucleoprotein 25 kDa protein, with no coding region annotated. The record is from RefSeq and is a predicted model, not a curated record. NCBI's taxonomy places the organism in Eukaryota, Viridiplantae, Streptophyta, Magnoliopsida, Malpighiales, Euphorbiaceae. The transcript has 6 exons.
AAACAGAUUGAUCGGUCUGGUUCACGGUCCCUGGCCACGUCUAACCACGAGAGUCCCCUUCACCCUUUCCCUCUUCACCCGACGAACCCAUCUCCUUCCAUUUGUCAUCCCCAUCGAGCACCCCAGUCUCCUCAACUAGUUCACAGAGCCAGCUCCCCAUCUCCCGAAUCAUUCACGAUACGCUGCCGGCACCCUCUUCUUCCUCCACUGACGAAACCUGCUCUGUCUCUCAUCGCCCUCACCUUCUUCGUUUCUUCAACAGACCCGUAUCCUCUCUCCGGAACCCAUACCAUUUUCCUGGACAGAACCCAACUUCUCCACGAUCGGCGGCUUUCCAUUCCUAAAAUCGACUGCUACCAGCUCAUUUUUCCUUCUCCUGCUCGUACCAUCGAAGCCACCAGCGGGUGUAGCAGCGAGACCCACGCCCUUCUCCUUCUUCCCCAUCAUUUCCUCUCCCCCAUCUCUGCCAGCAUCGCCGCCCUUAGAUCUCCCAGCAAAACCAAAUCCCAAGCCGCACCCAGCUGAUCCCUCGAGUUCGUGUCCCAGCAGCCGGGGGUCACCAGCGAUCUCAAUAAGACCUCGAGCAUUACCAGUGAAUCAACCACCAUCAGGAUCGAGCACUGUAGCACCAUUUCCGUCAGCGAUAGCGUCUCCCCUCUCACUUCACAGAUGCACAUCGCGCCAGACCAACGAAGCUGGACUGUAGUUCAACACCUGAGCUAAAGAUUCUUCAUUCACCGGAUUCACAAUCGGAUUUCUUGCGCCGGAGACUUUGAGAGACUGAUGGAAAAAGAAUCAAUUUCCAAGGGAGAAGAAGAUAUUGGCUACAAUAGCAGCAAUGUUAAGAAAGCAAAACUGCAGUCAACUCUUGCAGCUCUACUUGAUGAUCCUAUACUCGCCGAUGUACCUAGGAAACCCACCUUAACCGAUGUUGAUACUCUCAUUAGUCUUGAAUUGGGCAGUGCUAUGCGCAUCUCCGUCCUUAAACUAGAUGGCACCUCAUUUGAUGUGGCGAUGAUGAAUUCGGCGACAGUCAAAGAUUUGAAGCUUGCAAUAAAGAAGAAAGUGAUUGAAAUGGAGCAAUCCAAGAUGGGUCAUCGCCAUAUUUCAUGGAAGCAUGUAUGGGAAAAUUUUGCAAUAUCCUGCAAUAAUCAAAAGCUCCUUGAUGACAACUCUGCACUUCAUGAUUUCGGCGUCCGCAAUAAUUCUCAGGUUAAUUUUGUCCCCUAUGUCAUGUCAAAGGGUUUUGGAAAGCAUUCGAAGAGGAGAAAACACCGCUUUUUUCAUGGGCUUAACAACAUUGGCCAGUGAUGAUAUUAUUUCUCCUAAUGAUGCUACAGCCAUAGAAUGAACUCCCACAGAGUCUUUGCUGACGAAUUUCUGAGGAUUCUGGGAGACGAUGGUUCGGCUGCACUUUGCACAGUUUUGGGUACAGGUUCAUCAACUUCCUUUUGGAUCUGUUAAUGUCGUUACUACUAAGCAAUUGGGGGAUUUUAUAGGGUCUGUUAUCUCAUAUGAAAAUAUUGUUACUAUGGGGCGUUGGAGAAGCUAUAUGCAAAUUUGGGUUGUAAUUGAUGUCUGAUCCUCUAAAGGCAUUUGAAAAAAUUCCAAACCUAUAGAGGAACAUAUUUUAUAGUGGAUUUUAGGUAUGAAAGGCUGCCAACAAUUUUAUUUUCUUUAUGGACGAAAAAUUAUGUCCAUCUUUAUUUGAUAUGAAUAUUGUGUCAACAAUAAAAUAUUAAAGGGUAUUUGGUUUAGAGCGAA